Molecule: long non-coding RNA, 709 nt
Organism: Thunnus maccoyii (southern bluefin tuna)
Lineage: Eukaryota; Metazoa; Chordata; Actinopteri; Scombriformes; Scombridae
Exons: 3
Source: RefSeq, a predicted model, not a curated record
UUUCCCAAACUGACCCAUAAUUCACACCAUUCCUUAUCUCACAAGUGUUUUAUGCCUUUUUAAUCUGCAUGUCUCACUCUGCCAGGCACUCAUCCGCAUCUCCUGUCUCCUCUUUCUCUUCUCCUAUUCUAAUUCCUUCCUCUCACUUUUUCCCAGCAUGGAAUGAGUCCAGGUGGGGUGGCGCCGGUCCACGUCUCAGCUCCUUGGGGUGCUGUGUCCUCACCGCCCGCCUUCCCCUCUUCCCUCCACCUCCAUCUCCACCGCCCCUAGAGCAGCUAACCUCAAUCUUCCUGGCCUGUCUGGCGCAUUGUAGCAUCGUAAGAAUUAUGGACUGAAAGCUGGAACCGUCCAACAACUGCUCCGCGGACUGGCCCCAGUGCUCAAGAGGUCGCACAGCUGCAGGGGCCCAUACCCAGUAACCGGCCCCUCUCAUCCCUCCUCUCUCCUCCCCUGGUUGUCUCUCCCCUGAUACUCAUCCAGACUAAGACAGAACCAUAAAGUCUGAUCUGCUGUGCAGGUGAGGAUGUGAUUUGGCAGCUGAGCUCACCUUUGUGGAAUCCCGCAAGAAUGUGGCUUUGGGUAAACUCGUCCUGCCCUCCCGGCCAUCUAUUCACCUAUCCAUCCAUCCGUCCAUCUAACCAUCCAUUCCUCCCUUCCUCCUUCCACCCCCUCCUCCCUCUCCGCCUCUUUCCCAAAGCAGCAUAUAAUC